This 253-nucleotide ribosomal RNA is filed under the name uncultured bacterium. RNAcentral describes it as "partial 16S ribosomal RNA". It matches the Rfam family "Bacterial small subunit ribosomal RNA", at positions 524 to 776 of the family's 1533-position model. The record is from RNAcentral.
UACGAAGGGGGCUAGCGUUGUUCGGAAUUACUGGGCGUAAAGCGCACGUAGGCGGGUCGUUAAGUCAGGGGUGAAAUCCCGGAGCUCAACUCUGGAACUGCCUUUGAUACUGGCGACCUAGAGUCCGGAAGAGGUUAGUGGAAUUCCCAGUGUAGAGGUGAAAUUCGUAGAUAUUGGGAAGAACACCAGUGGCGAAGGCGGCUAACUGGUCCGGUACUGACGCUGAGGUGCGAAAGCGUGGGGAGCAAACAGG